AGGAGAAAAAUACUUAACUAGUGAGUUGCUCGAUCAUUUAAAAUAAAAUAGUAUACUCUCUCAAUGGACACUUCCUUACACUCCAUAAUUAAAUAAAAUUACAGAAAGGAGGAAUCACACUUAUUAGAUAUGGUGUGGUCUAUGAUGUGUGUUGGUUAUAGAACCCCCCAGCCGAAGUUCGUGUCAGGAAUGACCCCACGGGGAUUCUAUCGGCAUCCGACCUGCGGCGGCAGAGAGACU
RNAcentral lists this long non-coding RNA (240 nucleotides) under Elaeis guineensis (African oil palm). RNAcentral describes it as "long non-coding RNA (EGUI_LNC068507)". The record is from RNAcentral. Lineage: Eukaryota; Viridiplantae; Streptophyta; Magnoliopsida; Arecales; Arecaceae.